AAAGUCGUAACAAGGUCUCCGUUGGUGAACCAGCGGAGGGAUCAUUAAAGAGUUGCAAAACUCCCAAACCAUUGUGAACUUACCCCCAACGUUGCUUCGGCGGGUUGGCCCCGGGUCUCCCGGGGCCCCCCGGCCCUCACGGGCGCCCGCCGGAGGUACCUAACUCUCGAAAUUGUAUGGCCUCUCUGAGUGAUUUAUAAAUAAGUCAAAACCUUCAACAACGGAUCUCUUGGUUCUG
Molecule: unclassified non-coding RNA, 238 nt
Filed under: Ascomycota sp.
Lineage: Eukaryota; Fungi; Ascomycota
Description: partial contains small subunit ribosomal RNA, internal transcribed spacer 1, and 5.8S ribosomal RNA
Rfam family: Eukaryotic small subunit ribosomal RNA (bases 1-47)
Source: RNAcentral